RNAcentral lists this non-coding RNA (183 nucleotides) under Clostridiales bacterium. RNAcentral's name for it is "6S RNA". It matches the Rfam family "6S / SsrS RNA". Rfam says of the family: E. coli 6S RNA was the first non coding RNA to be sequenced, but its function was unknown until recently. It consists of 184 nucleotides that fold into an extended hairpin structure with a large single-stranded internal bulge. The 6S RNA specifically associates with RNA polymerase holoenzyme containing the sigma70 specificity factor. The record is from RNAcentral. Lineage: Bacteria; Bacillati; Bacillota; Clostridia; Eubacteriales.
UACCCCCUGAAGUGUGCGCCAGUUGACUGUUUUUACCCACAUCUUACCUUAGGGCAUCCGGGUCAGCGGCAUGAUGCCAGGCCCCCGUUCACGCGAUGGGGAAGGCUGAGUGAAGUUGCAGGACGCCUACCUGCUGAACAUAGCGGGUGAAAAAACGGUUGGCAGCGGCACUUUGGGCUAUCC